CUAAGCCUAUAAAAUAAACUUUUAUAUUUAUCAUAUCUAAAAGUUUAUUUUAUAGGCUUAGA
Molecule: transfer RNA, 62 nt
Filed under: Ulva lacinulata
Lineage: Eukaryota; Viridiplantae; Chlorophyta; Ulvophyceae; Ulvales; Ulvaceae
Also listed under: 1 other name
Description: tRNA-Tyr
Source: RNAcentral